CGGGACGGUAGCAUUCCGAAUAUGUCCAUCCAGUUACUUGUCAGAAAGAUUACAAGUACUUAGCCUCCUCAAAGAUUUAUGAUACACAACAAAGAAGUCCAUUAAGAAUUCUAAGGUCAUCCGUUGGCUGGACGUGGAGCGGAACUUGGCAAUAGACCUACCGAUAGAUAGCACUGUAAAACCCUACCUUGGUUAUACCUUAGGUGUAAC
Long non-coding RNA from Lolium rigidum, 210 nucleotides. RefSeq lists it as uncharacterized. Lineage: Eukaryota; Viridiplantae; Streptophyta; Magnoliopsida; Poales; Poaceae. The record is from RefSeq and is a predicted model, not a curated record. The transcript is spliced from 3 exons.